This 374-nucleotide ribosomal RNA is filed under the name uncultured eukaryote. RNAcentral's name for it is "SSU rRNA". It matches the Rfam family "Eukaryotic small subunit ribosomal RNA", at positions 587 to 972 of the family's 1831-position model. The record is from RNAcentral.
AGCUCCAAUAGCGUAUAUUUAAGUUGUUGCAGUUAAAAAGCUCGUAGUCGGAUUUCUGCCUAUAUAGCGGGUCCGCUUCGGUGUGCACCCGUCAAUAUGGGCAUCUAGGUUUAGUGACGUAUUGUGAUUGAUUUCAUGGACGUCGCUGAACCGCUGAUACUUUGAGAAAAUUAGAGUGCUCCAAGCAGGCGCUUGCCGUGAAUACUGCAGCAUGGGAUAUCAAGAAAGCUUUCCUAUCUUUCUUGUUGGUUCUCGGAUUGGAAAGAAUAUUCAAUAGAAACAGUUGGGGGUGUUCCUAUUGCUUAGUCAGAGGUGAAAUUCUUGGAUUUAAGCAAGAGGAUCUGCUGCGAAAGCGUUCACCAAGGAUGUUUUCA